Molecule: ribosomal RNA, 444 nt
Filed under: uncultured soil bacterium
Lineage: Bacteria
Description: bacterial SSU rRNA
Rfam family: Bacterial small subunit ribosomal RNA
Source: RNAcentral
AGAACGAACGCUGGCGGCAUGCCUAAUACAUGCAAGUCGAACGAACUCUUCGGAGUUAGUGGCGCACGGGUGCGUAACGCGUGGGAAUCUGCCCUUGGGUUCGGAAUAACAGUUGGAAACGACUGCUAAUACCGGAUGAUGACGAAAGUCCAAAGAUUUAUCGCCCAGGGAUGAGCCCGCGUAGGAUUAGCUAGUUGGUGAGGUAAAGGCUCACCAAGGCGACGAUCCUUAGCUGGUCUGAGAGGAUGAUCAGCCACACUGGGACUGAGACACGGCCCAGACUCCUACGGGAGGCAGCAGUAGGGAAUAUUGGACAAUGGGCGAAAGCCUGAUCCAGCAAUGCGCGUGAGUGAUGAAGGCCUUAGGGUUGUAAAGCUCUUUUACCCGAGAUGAUAAUGACAGUAUCGGGAGAAUAAGCCCCGGCUAACUCCGUGCCAGCAGCCG